GAAUAUAUUUUACAAAGUCAAGGAUUAAAGUGACCAAUGCUUACAAUCUUAGGGAUUAAACUGGGGUUUAUUUACUUUUGGGUUUCCAUAAAGGUGUAAUAAUGUCUCCUUGUUCCACAGUUUCCAGGAGACAAAUCUAGUCAUGCUGAAAAUCCAGGUUCACAGCCAUUGGAACCUGGUGAGAGUAAAAGAGGACAUAAUCAACUUCCCAAACUAAAAAUGGUAGAGAAGCAGCACAAUCAUGUGAUGCCUCUGCUUCCAACACCAGGAUCUGCUGCUGAUGGGCAUACCAAGAUGGAAACAAAAAUGAUUGAUUUGAACAUGAAGCCUAAUAACAGAUUACAUGAACAAGCAUCAAAUAAUCAGCCAUAAAUGGUACAACCAGGCAAUGCAGUUCUUGCAGGAUUCUACACCAAAAAUAUAGUACUGGCAAAAGCUUCUCAUGCAUGUUAAUGACAAGGAUGACAAAGAUAUUCUGUUAACAUCCUAUUCUGGUAAAUGAGGCACAGAAAUCUUUUGAGGAGUUUAUUCGUCUAUGUACGAACUUAAUUUGGUAGUUCAACACAACAUAUUUGUAUUGCAAAGCAUUGUUGAUUGUAUAUCUAUAUGAUCGCUUCCAAUGAAUUGCGUGUUGCUGAA
Vigna umbellata (rice bean) is the source of this 639-nucleotide non-coding RNA. The record is from RefSeq and is a predicted model, not a curated record. NCBI's taxonomy places the organism in Eukaryota, Viridiplantae, Streptophyta, Magnoliopsida, Fabales, Fabaceae.